GAUCCCUCUGGUGUGUCUAUGUCUAAUGCUGCCUCCUUUCCCCCAUCCUUCAAAAUCUCUUCUUUUAUCUGCAUCUGCAGGACCCCAAGAGACAGCCUCCGGCAGCCAUCUUUGUACAACGGGAUCCUGUCCCCCUGGCCAAAGCUGAUUAGAGGUGAGGUGGGUGGUGUACCUAAAGGGUUCUCAUCUCUUCUGAAGAGUUUGGAAAGGGAGCAACAGCUGCCUGCACCAGGCUCUUCAAGUGAUUGGACCUGUAACGCCACCUCUGGAAUUGUGGGACAGUUGUUUUCUGUCAUUUAAGAAGUGAAGAAAAAGCUGGUGUUUGGGAAAGUAAAAAAUGAAAUAGAUACACAGAAAGAAGUAGACACGAGUUUUGGCUCCAUAAGACACAUUGAUAUAUCCCCUUACACCACACACACACACACACACACACACACACACACCAGCUUGAGGUAGUUUAUAUAACCAGCAACAAGAGUCCUAACCAACACAUGAGAACACAGUGUCCCUUUUCAGUCACGACUGAGGAUCUUGUGGAAUGUUAGGGUCUCCAUGAAGAACCCGUAGUUCUCAUUAUUCAGAACACUGUGUGGAAAACCAAAGAGUCAGACCUGUCAUAAGUUUAUUUCAGAAGCUGCUCUAAGAAUUGCCUUUGUUCACUUUCAGUUUUCACAAUUGGUUCAGUUUCAAUGCUUCAACUCUUUCCCCUAAGAAGCACUCAGCAAAGCAUCCACAGGGCCCACAAAUGACUGUGGUCUGUGUGUGUGAGUGUUGUGUGGCAUCUGGGAAGGGUAGGUGAUGGGACCCACAUACAUUGAGUUCCAACUGUUUCCCUUUCCUGGAUGGUUUACUUUAAUCCCCACCACAUACUGGUACUCCUGAUAAAACCGUUUUAUCGUUGAAGAAGCUGCAUCUCAGAAAAGCACAUUGAUUUUGUUAAGGUCACGUGGCUGAAACCCAGGUUCAGUUCUCCCAGGUCCGUGGAGAACCAAAUUUGAUGCUAUUUUCACUCUUCCAUGUUAUUACACAGGGGGGAAAACACGCCUUGACCGGAUGUCCUGUUAGGGAGAUUCUAGUUCACUGACAUCCAACUUUCUUAGAAUUGUAUCAUACUGGAGAUUCUCGACCUUGAGGGAGAGAAUCAGGGACAGAGAGAUCUCCCAGCUCCAGACAUACUAGGAACAUUUCUGCAUAUUCUAAAUAAAACAUUGCUAUAUCCAGUAGGAACUAGGAUAGCAAUUUUUAGCACCUUAUUUAUAAAGGUGGGAAAAACAAAAGCCAAAGAAAGUAAAUGAGAAACACAAGAUCUUCAGACAGACCCAGGAGCCCACUGCGGCCUUCUGGCUCUGCCUGUCUCAGUAGAAGAACAUUCUGGAGCAGUUGAUCUUUCUUGACUAAUUAAAGGUGAUUGGAGUUUUGGAGUCAGCAUGGCUUUUGCCUCCCCUCAGCCCCACAUCCUUGGACACCAUACUGUCUGCGGGCUGUCAGUUAGCAAGUAAGUCUAGAGAAGAGCUGGUGUUGGCUGAAGUCAGCCCGGACAGAAUGAGAUUAGGAAGAUCCAGGCAAAACCUUGGACCUCAAUGUGGUUUGAACCUAGUAAAAAAAUCAUGCAAGUGCUUAAAUCAGACUCUGCAAACGCCUCAAAAUGGACACAGCUGUGCAGCAUAAAGCUCCCAACUGGAAUAAGCAAAUCGGAACCAGACUUUUCUCUUCUGAUGCUCUCAACUCUUCUUUAUCUAAUGAAUGUUUUUGUUUUAUUUAGAUUUUUUUAAAGCCCUCACCUUGAUUUGUUGAUCACAAAGGAAUGUUGCCUGCUUAUUUUAAUGCAUUCCAACAUUACCAAGGUAAAAUGCAGAAAGGGAACAUUUGGAGUUGAAUUUGAAAUACCGUCAGUAGCCCUUCCUGUAAAACUUGCCAAUGUCAAGGCUAUGUUAAAGAAUGUAAGCUACAGGAAAACUCCAAUUAGUCAAAAUGUCCAGGGAAUGGGAGAUUCCAGGUUAUUUCAGAGAAAACCUUUUUCACAUCAACUCUUGACGUUGGAAAUCUUACUGAAAAGUAUGAGUUGGGUUUCCUGUCUUUAAGAAGCACAGUUUAUUCCAAAAUUAAUUUAAUGUUCAUCUGACAGUUGAGGGUCAGGCUGUAUCACGGGUUAAGCAUUCUGGACCCCAAUUCCCAUUGUCCAGAAAAAACAAACCAAAACUAAACAGGAGAUUGAGGAGACUUUGAACGCCACCCUCGGACAUGUUUUCGAUGUCCCUGAAAUGAGCCUUUUCCUUUUGUAUUUUGCUCCUUUCUCCUUGUAUAGAGGGGGGAGAAAAACAUCUGCGAGACUUGGUGCCUUGCCUGCAUAAAUUCCAGCUAAAUCAAGAUUUUCCCAUACUUACAGUUUUAUAUAAAUGCUUUGGCCAUCAGCAGUUGGAAGCCAUCCUUCCUAUGGCCUGUGCAGGAGAAUUGGGAGAAGUGAGCACCUCCCUCAGCCACCUGCCACCUUCCCCACCACCACUGGAGAGCAGAUCAGCAGAAUUUGGUCAUUUCUUCCCAGAUCAGUUGUCACUGUCUGCACCCGGCUCCUCAGCAUCCAUGACGUUUCUUUGUUGUAGGAAGCUCUUCUGUGCUCUGUGGACCCACACCAUCUCAGCUCCCACUGUUUGGAGGCCAGCAGCACUCGCCCACCUCCUUAACCAUGACCACCCAAAAUGUCUCCCGAUAUUGCCAGACGUCCUCCAAGGGACAGAGUUGCCCCCAGUUGAGAAUCACUGGUCUAGACAUGGGUUCAGUUAUUUCUCUUUUAUUUUCCCUCCCCCUGUCAUCAAGAUUAUACGUUUUCUUGACCUUGGCAAAUAAUUUCAUAACAUAUUUCCUGCUCUAUUUCAUGGAAGAACAAAAAUAAUUCUCUGAUGAAAGUCAUAUUUUGACUUAAAUUGCAUGAGGCAGGCCUUGUUAUAACACACCCACAGGUUCCGCGUUGUUUUUGGAAGGCAGUAAAUUUGUUUUCUGCUUCGAUCCUGAUUUUGAUUUUUAAGUACUGAAUUUUCAUACUCUACUCAGUUCCCCUGGAGGUCAUUGUCAUCAUGGACAUCAAAUCGACGUCUCAGGCACAGUCUCUCAUGUCGUACCGUCUCUCUCAAUUUCAUUUUUGCAUCUGUCUCGAAAUCAUUUUUGCUGCUGUGGCUAAUGUUCCAUGUUUUUUCACUCACUGUUCUUUAAAGCCCAUUUAUUCCCUUUUUCCAGUGAGUUCAGUUUAAAUCUUAUGUCUUGUACGAUAUUUUGGGUAUUUAAAAAAAUAUCUGUUAAAUGUGUUAAAUUCAGGUAGUAAGUUAUAGAUGCCUGAUUGCAAGCCUAUGGUAAUAUUUCUGCCAUAGAACGGGGUGAUAGUUGAAACUGUUUUGGAGAAGCAGAUUUUGGGAUUAGGAAAGUUACCCAUAUAUGUUGAUUGUCAAAUGUCAAACAAUUCAGUUAUGCUACAGUUUGGAUUUGGAAUGUUCCCCAAAGGCCCGUAGGUUGAAGGCUUGGUUGUCAGUGUGGUACUGUUGGAAGGUGGUGGGAAUUUUAAGAAGUGGGGUCACUGGGAUUGUGCUCUUGAAGGGAAUUGCAGGGCCCCAGUUCCCCUUUCUCCCUCUCUUCUACUUCCCAGUCACCAAGAGGGGAGUGAUUUUCUGCCCUCUGUAUUCCCUCCUUGAUUUCUGUCUCCCCACAGGCCCCAAACAAUGGGACCAACUGACCAAGGGUUGAGACCUCCAAACCUAGGACCCAAAAUAAACUCUCUAUCUUUAUAAACUGGUGAAAUCAGGUAUUUGUAACAGUAACUCAGAACUGAUGGACACAAAUUAAUAAUUCAUAUGAUAUCUAUUUUGGACCAAAUAAGCGUAUGCACACUGAGAUUUUUUCAGAUUCAUCAGAGGUUUUGCAUGUAUUAUUUUUACUUGGAUUGUAAAAAAUGGAACACAAAACUGUAGAUGAUUUCUGAAUACAUAAAAAUAUUUCCAGGUUGAGGCUAGAAUUCAGUGGUUGUGCAUAUGUGAGACCCUGGAUUCAAUUCUCAGCGCUGGAAAAAAAAAUUCCAUGUACAUAGACAAAGGCUAGUAUAUAAAAGUUAGCAUUGAACAGUUGUAUUGAUUAUAGCAAAUGCUUUCUCCUAUUCAAAGUUUUCUAUGGAUUAGAGUUUACAUAAAUUUUCGGUAGCACAUAUUUUUUAUUACCUGAAGAAGCUUUCUUGUUCACUUAAAAUACAAAACAGAUGACAAAUCACUUGUGAUAACACCACCCAGUGAUGGUCACUGUCAACAGUCUUUUUUUCCUUUUACAAAACAGAUCAUCCUAAAUAAAUUAUUCUUUAUCCUGCUUUUUAAAUCAUAGUGAGUAUGAAUAUAAAUAUACAGCUAUCUAUGGAUAUCUAAGAAGGAUUGUCACAAGUAAAAUAUCAUAGUAUUUACCUGUAACCUACACACACCCUUCCUACACUUUAAAUUGUCUCUAGAUGACUUACAAUACCCAAUACCUUUCUCGAAUAUUAUUUUAUUGUGUUGUUCAAGGAAUAAUUAUAAGAAAAAGCAGUCUAUAUAUAUUCAACACAGAUGCAACCAUCAUAGGUCAACUACGUCUCUGAUAUGAAUUGGUUGAAUUCAUGGAUAUGGAACCCAUAGAUAGGGAGGGACAACUAUUAACUUGUGUAUUUCUGUUUGAUAUUAUGGGACUUUUGGAGAUUUCCAGUUUCUUCCAUUAUAUAUAUUAUGUUGCAAAGAAGAUCUCCAUACAAAAUCUUUCCACACGUGGUUAAGCAACUCUUGCAGCUAAAACUUGAG
Molecule: long non-coding RNA, 4802 nt
Filed under: Marmota monax (woodchuck)
Lineage: Eukaryota; Metazoa; Chordata; Mammalia; Rodentia; Sciuridae
Source: RNAcentral